This 443-nucleotide ribosomal RNA is filed under the name uncultured bacterium. Its description in RNAcentral is "partial 16S ribosomal RNA". It matches the Rfam family "Bacterial small subunit ribosomal RNA", at positions 338 to 795 of the family's 1533-position model. The record is from RNAcentral.
CCUACGGGAGGCAGCAGUGGGGAAUAUUGGGCAAUGGGCGCAAGCCUGACCCAGCAACGCCGCGUGAAGGAAGAAGGCUUUCGGGUUGUAAACUUCUUUUCUCAGGGACGAAGCAAGUGACGGUCCCUGAGGAAUACGCCACGGCUCACUACGUGCCAGCAUCCGCGGUAAUAAGUAGGUGGCACGCGUUAGCCGUAUUUACUGGGUGUAUAGGGCGUGUAGGCGGGGACGCAAGUCAGAUGUGAAAACCACGGGCUCAACCUGUGGCCUGCAUUUGAAACUGUGUGUCUUGAGUACUGGAGAGGCAGACGGAAGUACUGGGGUAGCGGUGAAAUGCGUAGAUAUUAGGGGGAACACCAGUGGCGAAGGCGGUCUGCUGGACAGCAACUGACGCUGAGGCGCGAAAGCGUGGGGAGCAAACAGGAUUAGAUACCCCGGUAGUC